Prionailurus viverrinus (fishing cat) is the source of this 132-nucleotide long non-coding RNA. RefSeq lists it as uncharacterized. NCBI's taxonomy places the organism in Eukaryota, Metazoa, Chordata, Mammalia, Carnivora, Felidae. The transcript has 3 exons. The record is from RefSeq and is a predicted model, not a curated record.
GUGUCAGAUGUGAAUAAGAGACAUGGGAGACAAUCGUUAAGAGUAUACAACAAUUUUCAAACUCCCGUCUUCAAUGGACUACCAAAAUCAGAAAGCCACUAUAAACCCCAAUGAAGUCUUCAUUUGAUGCUC